Molecule: ribosomal RNA, 254 nt
Filed under: uncultured bacterium
Lineage: Bacteria
Description: partial 16S ribosomal RNA
Rfam family: Bacterial small subunit ribosomal RNA
Source: RNAcentral
UACGUAGGUGGCAAGCGUUGUCCGGAUUUAUUGGGUUUAAAGGGUGCGUAGGCGGCUUGGCAAGUCGGGUGUGAAACCUCCAGGCUCAACCUGGAGACGCCACUCGAUACUGCUAUGGCUAGAGUCCGGUAGGGGACCACGGAAUUCCUGGUGUAGCGGUGAAAUGCGCAGAUAUCAGGAGGAACACCGGUGGCGAAGGCGGUGGUCUGGGCCGGCACUGACGCUGAGGAGCGAAAGCGUGGGUAGCAAACAGG